ACGCUGGCGGCAGGCUUAACACAUGCAAGUCGAACGGUAACAGGAAUUAGCUUGCUAAUUUGCUGACGAGUGGCGGACGGGUGAGUAAUGCUUGGGAAUCUGGCUUAUGGAGGGGGACAACUACGGGAAACUGUAGCUAAUACCGCGUAAAAUCUUCGGAUUAAAGGGUGGGACUUUCGAGCCACCUGCCAUAAGAUGAGCCCAAGUGGGAUUAGGUAGUUGGUUAGGUAAAGGCUGACCAAGCCGACGAUCUCUAGCUGGUCUGAGAGGAUGACCAGCCACACUGGAACUGAGACACGGUCCAGACUCCUACGGGAGGCAGCAGUGGGGAAUAUUGCACAAUGGGGGGAACCCUGAUGCAGCCAUGCCGCGUGAAUGAAGAAGGCCUUCGGGUUGUAAAGUUCUUUCGGUGACGAGGAAGGUUGAUAGGUUAAUAGCCUAUCAAAUUGACGUUAAUCACAGAAGAAGCACCGGCUAACUCCGUGCCAGCAGCCGCGGUAAUACGGGGGGUGCGAGCGUUAAUCGGAAUAACUGGGCGUAAAGGGCACGCAGGCGGUGACUUAAGUGAGAUGUGAAAGCCCCGAGCCUAACUUGGGAAUUGCAUUUCAUACUGGGUCGCUAGAGUACUUUAGGGAGGGGUAGAAUUCCACGUGUAGCGGUGAAAUGCGUAGAGAUGUGGAGGAAUACCGAAGGCGAAGGCAGCCCCUUGGGAAUGUACUGACGCUCAUGUGCGAAAGCGUGGGGAGCAAACAGGAUUAGAUACCCUGGUAGUCCACGCUGUAAACGAUGUCGAUUUGGGGAUUGGGCUUUGAGCUUGGUGCCCGUAGCUAACGUGAUAAAUCGACCGCCUGGGGAGUACGGCCGCAAGGUUAAAACUCAAAUGAAUUGACGGGGGCCCGCACAAGCGGUGGAGCAUGU
RNAcentral lists this ribosomal RNA (918 nucleotides) under uncultured bacterium. Its description in RNAcentral is "bacterial SSU rRNA". It matches the Rfam family "Bacterial small subunit ribosomal RNA", at positions 33 to 942 of the family's 1533-position model. The record is from RNAcentral.